Molecule: ribosomal RNA, 140 nt
Filed under: uncultured eukaryote
Lineage: Eukaryota
Description: partial 18S ribosomal RNA
Rfam family: Eukaryotic small subunit ribosomal RNA
Source: RNAcentral
UGGUGGAGUGAUUCGUCUGGUUAAUUCCGUUAACGAACGAGACCUUAGCCUGCUAAAUAGCCACAAGGAAGUUAAGAUCUUUGUCAGGCUUCUUAGAGGGACUUUGUGUUUUCAGCACAAGGAAGUUUGAGGCAAUAACA